GUGAAACUAUGUGCCUACACCUUUUAGUAGUGAAGGAAGAUUUUGAGGAGGCUCAAAGGAAGCAUCAUUGUCCUUCUAUUAACUUGGCGACUUGUUAGCUCUCUUUCCUAGCAAGUGUUGAUAUUCAAUCCAAAUAGGACUCCUUGGGCCAGGUGUGGUGGCUCAUGCCUGUAAUACCAGCACUUCGGGAGGCUGAGGUGGGUGGAUUGCCUAAGGUCAGGAGUUCGAGACCAGCCUGGCCAAAGUGGUGAAAACUUCUCUCUACUAAAAAUACAAAAAUUAACCCAAUGUGGUGGUGAGCACCUGUAAUCCCAGCUACUUGGGAAGCUGAGGCAGGAGAAUCGCUUGAACCCAGGAGGUAGAGGCUGCAGUGAGCCGAGAUCACACCAUUUCACUCCAGCCUGCGUGACAGAGUGAGACUCCGUCUCAAAACAAAACAAAACCAAAUAGGACUCCUUAGUUUUUCCAGACAGAGGAUAAUUUUCUCUUAACCCUGCAUUUUGCAAACUACUAAGGAGAGUGCUGCCCCUCAAAUAUCUCUCUCUGCAAAUCCUAGACAAUAGUCUGACAAGGCCUCCUACCCUCACUGCUGCUCUGUCUACCCUCAACUCCUCAACUUACUCCCUUCAAUCUAAGCCUGGAAAUGGCCUGUGAGGUCCGCGGCUUCCUGCUGUUAGAUCUCAGCCAGGGCAGCUGCCAAGCGUCCCAGACGUGGUGUGACCAUGAAGCUUUCUGGGGCUUCUCCUUUCCCCUUCACCAGAACUGCUGCCCUGAGGCCCAUCUUUGCUAUGGACAAAACUGCCCUUUGUCAUUGUCACAAUGGGUGCUCUUUUCCAGAGAUGUAGAGAUGACUCCUCUGCUUUCCUGCACUUAGUGGGAUGACAGAGAACAGAAAAGAAAAAUCCAUCUCAAGGUCACACACUUUAAACUUCUCUGCUCUCUUCUCACAGAUGGAAUGGAGAAUUGAAGUCAGUUUUUUCUUUUCUUCUAUUCUGCACCGUGAAAAUUUAAGGUUGUCAGGAUGCAGCUCUCCUGGUGGAAAUGCUUCUUGUUCUUCCUGGCCUGGAACAAGGGUGAAGAACAGAAACAAUACGGCAAUCACCAAUUUUGACUGGCAACACCACAGAUCAAAUUGCUUCUCUGCUCAAAAGCCUCCACUUUCUUUCUGUCUAUCUUGCAAUAUAAUAUAA
This 1190-nucleotide long non-coding RNA is filed under the name Papio anubis (olive baboon). Its description in RNAcentral is "lncRNA (ENSPANG00000040284.1)". The record is from RNAcentral. Lineage: Eukaryota; Metazoa; Chordata; Mammalia; Primates; Cercopithecidae.